UCCGGGCUGGGGCCGCACCGAGGAACUCCUCCGCUCAGGGAUCACCAGCGGCGCCGCCGGGCUGCAGAGGGCCGGCCGCUCUCUGCAGGAGCUCAUAGUCUCUCUGAUUAAGUGGUUCUCAACAGUUCAACAGUUCUUUGACAAAAUUGUGAAAUGUUUAGGACCACUUGACCAGUAAGACCAAUGCUGCCGCUCUGGGAAAGUCCUGCGUCGGCCUCGGAGCGGCUCUUACCGUCUGUGAAGAACCACUUUUGGAACUAUGUCUGGGCAUGUCUCCCUCUGAGUGUGUCACCUUGUGUUACCUUGUCUCGCUGCAGGUAGGGCAGCGACUGCCGCAAAGAAACACCCCUCACUCUUUUUACCCUGCCGGAUCACAGCUUGUUCUGUUUUUUUGGUUGUUUUUACAGCUUUCCAGUUAUUUUUUUUAUUGUUUUAUUUAUUUUUUUUAAUGUAUUUACAGUUGCUUUUUCAGAGGUGCUCAAUAAAAGAAUAAAGAAACGUUCACGUGUG
Salarias fasciatus (jewelled blenny) is the source of this 510-nucleotide long non-coding RNA. RefSeq lists it as uncharacterized. Lineage: Eukaryota; Metazoa; Chordata; Actinopteri; Blenniiformes; Blenniidae. The record is from RefSeq and is a predicted model, not a curated record. The transcript is spliced from 2 exons.